This 539-nucleotide ribosomal RNA is filed under the name uncultured bacterium. RNAcentral describes it as "bacterial SSU rRNA". It matches the Rfam family "Bacterial small subunit ribosomal RNA", at positions 777 to 1320 of the family's 1533-position model. The record is from RNAcentral.
AAUAGAUACCCGGGUAGUCCACGCCGUAAACGAUGAAUACUAGGUGUAGGGGUUGUCAUGACCUCUGUGCCGCCGCUAACGCAUUAAGUAUUCCGCCUGGGGAGUACGGUCGCAAGAUUAAAACUCAAAGGAAUUGACGGGGGCCCGCACAAGCAGCGGAGCAUGUGGUUUAAUUCGAAGCAACGCGAAGAACCUUACCUAGACUUGACAUCUCCUGAAUUACCCUUAAUCGGGGAAGCCCUUCGGAGCAGGAAGACAGGUGGUGCAUGGUUGUCGUCAGCUCGUGUCGUGAGAUGUUGGGUUAAGUCCCGCAACGAGCGCAACCCUUAUUGUUAGUUGCUACCAUUUAGUUGAGCACUCUAGCGAGACUGCCCGGGUUAACCGGGAGGAAGGUGGGGAUGACGUCAAAUCAUCAUGCCCCUUAUGUCUAGGGCUACACACGUGCUACAAUGGCUGGUACAGAGAGAUGCUAAACCGUGAGGUGGAGCCAAACUUUAAAACCAGUCUCAGUUCGGAUUGUAGGCUGAAACUCGCCUACA